CAGCCGCCGCGGGAAUACGGAGGGUGCAAGCGUUAUCCGGAUUCACUGGGUUUAAAGGGUGCGUAGGCGGAUCUGUAAGUCAGUGGUGAAAUCUCCAGGCUUAACCUGGAAACUGCCGUUGAUACUAUAGGUCUUGAAUUUUGUGGAGGUUAGCGGAAUAUGUCAUGUAGCGGUGAAAUGCAUAGAUAUGACAUAGAACACCAAUUGCGAAGGCAGCUGGCUACACAACUAUUGACGCUGAGGCACGAAAGCGUGGGGAUCAAACAGGAUUAGAUACCCGCGUAGUCCCUGUCUCUUAUAA
This 301-nucleotide ribosomal RNA is filed under the name uncultured bacterium. Its description in RNAcentral is "partial 16S ribosomal RNA". It matches the Rfam family "Bacterial small subunit ribosomal RNA", at positions 509 to 809 of the family's 1533-position model. The record is from RNAcentral.